CCCAUCUCAGGGUGGCACCUGGAGAGUUUCCAGACCUCUACCAGCCUUGACUACAGGAGGGAGAGUCAAGCAGAGGCCUGCCCAUUCCAUUCCUAGCUUGGCCAAUGGCUAGUGAGCGGAAGGCCAUCUGCUACAAGU
This 138-nucleotide small nucleolar RNA is filed under the name Ornithorhynchus anatinus (platypus). Lineage: Eukaryota; Metazoa; Chordata; Mammalia; Monotremata; Ornithorhynchidae. The record is from RNAcentral.